RNAcentral lists this ribosomal RNA (427 nucleotides) under uncultured Sphingobacteriales bacterium. Its description in RNAcentral is "bacterial SSU rRNA". It matches the Rfam family "Bacterial small subunit ribosomal RNA", at positions 953 to 1382 of the family's 1533-position model. Lineage: Bacteria; Pseudomonadati; Bacteroidota; Sphingobacteriia; Sphingobacteriales. The record is from RNAcentral.
GAUGAUACGCGAGAACCUUACGUGGCUCAAAUGUAUGUUGACGUUAUUCUGAAAGGGAUACUUCUUUCGGACAAUAUACAAGGUGCUGCAUGGUUGUCGUCAGCUCGUGCCGUGAGGUGUCGGGUUAAGUCCCAUAACGAGCGCAACCCCUAUCAUUAGUUGCCAUCAGGUCAAGCUGGGGACUCUAAUGAAACUGCCUACGCAAGUAGUGAGGAAGGUGGGGAUGACGUCAAAUCAGCACGGCCCUUACGUCCAGGGCUACACACGUGCUACAAUGGCCGGUACAAAGGGCAGCUACCUGGUGACAGGAUGCUAAUCUCAAAAGCCGGUCUCAGUUCGGAUCGGAGUCUGCAACCCGACCCCGUGAAGCUGGAAUCGCUAGUAAUCGCGCAUCAGCCAUGGCGCGGUGAAUACGUUCCCGGGCCUU